This 447-nucleotide ribosomal RNA is filed under the name uncultured bacterium. RNAcentral describes it as "bacterial SSU rRNA". It matches the Rfam family "Bacterial small subunit ribosomal RNA", at positions 355 to 825 of the family's 1533-position model. The record is from RNAcentral.
UGGGGAAUCUUGGACAAUGGGCGCAAGCCUGAUCCAGCCAUGCCGCGUGAGUGAAGAAGGCCUUCGGGUUGUAAAGCUCUUUUAUCGGGGACGAUGAUGACGGUACCCGAUGAAUAAGCUCCGGCUAACUUCGUGCCAGCAGCCGCGGUAAUACGAGGGGAGCUAGCGUUGUUCGGAAUUACUGGGCGUAAAGGGCGCGUAGGCGGUACUAUAAGUCAGAUGUGAAAGCCCUGGGCUUAACCUAGGAGGUGCAUUUGAAACUGUAGAACUAGAGAUCGAGAGAGGAAAGUGGAAUUACGAGUGUAGAGGUGAAAUUCGUAGAUAUUCGUAAGAACACCGGUGGCGAAGGCGACUUUCUGGCUCGAUACUGACGCUAAGGCGCGAAAGCGUGGGGAGCAAACAGGAUUAGAUACCCAUGUAGUCCCUGAGCGGGCUGGCAAGGCGCAU